Ailuropoda melanoleuca (giant panda) is the source of this 439-nucleotide long non-coding RNA. RefSeq lists it as uncharacterized. Lineage: Eukaryota; Metazoa; Chordata; Mammalia; Carnivora; Ursidae. The record is from RefSeq and is a predicted model, not a curated record. The transcript is spliced from 3 exons.
AAACACAGUUUAGAGAGUGCAAAGUAACUUGCUCAGUGCAAGCUGACUGAAACUGCAGCAAGAACAACUAAUUCGUCCAGUGCCUCAUCCUUCCCCAGCCAGGAUCUCAAGCAUGAAUGUGUGGAAACCUGCACCCUUUUACCCAGGCAACCCGGCAGUGUGUGUUCAGAGGUGUUUCCCCAGCUUGGAUCUUCUCGGAAAAGUUUAUCAAGAUCAUCUGUAUACCAGUCUAUACCCCGUGAGCUCCACUGCCCUAUUCCACUGCCCUGAUCACUUUCUGCAUCAUCUAGUCUGCUGUAGAACUCCUCCAGUGUAUUUUCCAGAUGAACUGUCUCUACUUGAUAUUGUGCAUUGGAUCCCAUUUCCUCUCAUUACUUAAGAACUUGUCUUCUGAAGCAUCGAACUUUGCAUCGGAAUCCGGGGAUGUACUGUAUGCUGA